UUAACCCUAACUUGCAAAGGAAAAAUGAAAUUAACUAUUGAAUUAAGAAGAAAACAAAUAAAAGAAAAGAAAAGGAACAAGAAUGUCAAAAACAAAAAUAAAAGAAAAAAUUAAAAAUAAAACAAAAAAAUAGAAAAUGAAAAUGAAAAAAGAUAAAAUAAAAAAUAUGUUUGGAGUUGUUGGGUAUCGAUGGUGGCCGGAGGGGCAGAUCUGGCUAUUGGGGAUGAGCGGCUACCACUGGUCAAGAUUCGAA
This 253-nucleotide long non-coding RNA is filed under the name Gossypium barbadense (sea-island cotton). RNAcentral's name for it is "long non-coding RNA (GBAR_LNC011309)". Lineage: Eukaryota; Viridiplantae; Streptophyta; Magnoliopsida; Malvales; Malvaceae. The record is from RNAcentral.